RNAcentral lists this ribosomal RNA (698 nucleotides) under Triticum aestivum (bread wheat). RNAcentral's name for it is "partial small subunit ribosomal RNA". Lineage: Eukaryota; Viridiplantae; Streptophyta; Magnoliopsida; Poales; Poaceae. The record is from RNAcentral.
GACCUUCAUUAAAUUAUACGUUCACGUACAAUUAGGUUCCCGCGAUGGUUAAUAAUAACGUACGUGUAGUCCUACAUUUUAGCCACGGUCGUUUUAUGUGGAGACAGCCAAGACGGGACCAAACCGGCCAUAGAAAGGAAGGAGGAACAACACCUCACGUGGGCUAGACUAAGAUUAUUAGGAGGGGACGAGUACACCGAGCAAACCAGUCGCACCAGCGGCGCACACUUCAGACCACCGAAGCACACUGUAGGGCUCGUCACGAAUCGCUGCGCACGUGCAUGACAGACCACACGAAUGUGCACCAGAUAAAAAUAGGAAACAUUUUCGGACUUAGAAGUAGAGCAAAAGUCAAAGGGAACGUGUUUUGUCAGAGGGUAUAUGGUCCGCGGGCUCGCCGCUCUCACGAGCGUCCUCGAGCUUGGGCUGGGGGGCGUGCCUCUAGACUUCGUCGUCGUCCUGGAGCGGCCUGCGUCGUCGACGUGGUGUUCAGGUUUGUUACCGCGGCGGGAGUACUUUGUACCUUCGUCUCCGAUUGGGAACGCCGCCGCCACCGCACAGAAAGGUCACGAGGGGGAACGCCGGAAGGGUCUGAACCACAAGCGAACCACAACCACCUGUCAGCUCCUCCUGGUAGAGGGCGUGACCGGAGGGGACCUGCGCGCGUCGGCCGCCGAGGCAGCCCAGGUUGUCACCAG